AAACUUUCAACAACGGAUCUCUUGGCUCUGGCAUCGAUGAAGAACGCAGCGAAAUGCGAUAAGUAAUGUGAAUUGCAGAAUUUAGUGAAUCAUCUAAUCUUUGAACGCACAUUGCGCCCCUUGGUAUUCCGAGGGGCAUGGCUGUUCGAGCGUC
This 154-nucleotide ribosomal RNA is filed under the name Erysiphe neolycopersici. RNAcentral describes it as "Oidium neolycopersici 5.8S ribosomal RNA". It matches the Rfam family "5.8S ribosomal RNA". From Rfam's summary of the family: 5.8S ribosomal RNA (5.8S rRNA) is a component of the large subunit of the eukaryotic ribosome. It is transcribed by RNA polymerase I as part of the 45S precursor that also contains 18S and 28S rRNA. The record is from RNAcentral. Lineage: Eukaryota; Fungi; Ascomycota; Leotiomycetes; Helotiales; Erysiphaceae.